This 82-nucleotide ribosomal RNA is filed under the name Citrobacter freundii. RNAcentral describes it as "partial 23S ribosomal RNA". It matches the Rfam family "Bacterial large subunit ribosomal RNA", at positions 2844 to 2925 of the family's 2925-position model. RNAcentral also lists the same sequence under 1 other name. Lineage: Bacteria; Pseudomonadati; Pseudomonadota; Gammaproteobacteria; Enterobacterales; Enterobacteriaceae. The record is from RNAcentral.
ACGACGACGUUGAUAGGUCGGGUGUGUAAGUGUAGCGAUACAUUGAGCUAACCGAUACUAAUGAACCGUGAGGCUUAACCUU